UCCCCCAUAGUUCAGUUGGUAGAACGGCGGACUGUUAAUCCGUAUGUCACUGGUUCGAGUCCAGUUGGGGGAGCCA
Molecule: transfer RNA, 76 nt
Filed under: Salinivibrio costicola
Lineage: Bacteria; Pseudomonadati; Pseudomonadota; Gammaproteobacteria; Vibrionales; Vibrionaceae
Also listed under: 37 other names
Description: tRNA-Asn
Rfam family: tRNA
About the family: Transfer RNA (tRNA) molecules are approximately 80 nucleotides in length. Their secondary structure includes four short double-helical elements and three loops (D, anti-codon, and T loops). Further hydrogen bonds mediate the characteristic L-shaped molecular structure. tRNAs have two regions of fundamental functional importance: the anti-codon, which is responsible for specific mRNA codon recognition, and the 3' end, to which the tRNAs corresponding amino acid is attached (by aminoacyl-tRNA synthetases). tRNAs cope with the degeneracy of the genetic code in two manners: having more than one tRNA (with a specific anti-codon) for a particular amino acid; and 'wobble' base-pairing, i.e. permitting non-standard base-pairing at the 3rd anti-codon position.
Source: RNAcentral